GCAAGCUGCAAAUUUCAUCUCCUUUGAAGCUCUGCCACCCUUAAAAUUACACUCUGAGCCUGAUUAUCACUAUGGAAGUCCUAUGGCUAAGGAGAUAUUGGUCACUAAACACUGCCAAGAUGACCUUCUGGCUUUCAGUGUGCCCUAAUUUGACAGUUGGCUGAUCAGAAUUUGUUACUUUCUUUUUGCAAGGCUUCCAAGACAGUUAACAAAUGCUAACAAAUUCCAAAGUCCUUUACCCCCAAAACAUUCUAGGGACAGAGAUACUGGAUAACCCAUUUCUUCUUGUUUCAUUCCAUCCCAGGUGAGAUUCCCAGGAACUGAGAUGCAGGCCAGGGAUUACCACCACCCUGCUUAUCCUAUCAGUGAGGAGUGUGUCCAUGCCUUGCAACAGGAUGCCUUAAACAGAUGGAUAAAAUAUAGAACAUAAUAAAUUUUAUGACUAAUAUAUAAUUCUGCAGAAAUUGCCCUCUUUCUAACAGGUGAGUAAAGGUUUAUAUAGAGAUUUGUUAUCUCUAUAUUUAAAUUAAGAAACUACAGCCUUGAAAAAAU
This 552-nucleotide long non-coding RNA is filed under the name Capra hircus (goat). RNAcentral's name for it is "lncRNA (ENSCHIG00010001794.1)". Lineage: Eukaryota; Metazoa; Chordata; Mammalia; Artiodactyla; Bovidae. The record is from RNAcentral.